Molecule: long non-coding RNA, 2376 nt
Filed under: Zea mays
Lineage: Eukaryota; Viridiplantae; Streptophyta; Magnoliopsida; Poales; Poaceae
Description: long non-coding RNA (ZMAY_LNC000171)
Source: RNAcentral
CCAAUGUCAACUGAGAAACGUCACCUAGAUCAGAUCAUACUCCUCGCCUUGUGGCUCCUCCUGAACCACCUGCUCUUCUCCUGUGGGGGGGGGGUGCGAGACAGCAAGGGUGAGCUCACACAUGAUCAUAGCUCAACAAGUUAUGGGGAACCAGUGGACAUAAACUCACAAAGGUGUGAGUUCAUGUGAUGUGUAAGGCAAAUCAAUGAUAGGGGUUAAUGUUGAGCAUUGUUUUUAAGUAGUUGGUCAAAAUUUUAUUAGUAGUUACUAAGUGUAAGUAAGUACCAAACCUUAAGUGAAGUAAUAGAACAAAACUAAUAAUAAACCCAUGCAAUGCAAAUGACAAAAUUGAAUUUAAGUUCCAUAACUUAAACAUCAGAGAGUCCUGAGCUGCUCGUGACCGUGAGCUCGGCUAGUAUACCAGUUUUACACUCUGCAGAGGUUGUACCCUUUACCCACAAGUCAUGCUACCCAUCCGCCAAGGGGUCGCGAAUCCCAUACACCUCUACCUAGGAAGCGCGGCAGGGCAACACUACGAGGCCUUUACAAAGUUCCACUAGCUUCCGAAAACCCGCUACAGUUUAUAGGAAGUUCCAAUGCAGGGUUCUUGUCUGACCGCCAUCGCAGCAAAAUCAACCAAGGACCUCCCUACACUGACCACUCCCCUACUGUCCUUGCCCCUUUCGGGUAAGGUAGUCUUCCACUAACUUUCCUAAUUAGUCAGCCAAGGGCGUCCCAUUAAACCCUUGUGGUGGCACGUGGUUCUCAAGUUAAGAUCUAUGUUCCAAUUAACAUUAAUGAACUUGACAUGAACAUAAAUAGAAUAACAAGAAUAAUUGGAACAUAGAUAUAAUAAAUGAUUAUCCCAAAACCAUGUAAAGCAAUAGCAAACUACCCAAGUGAUUCAGGGGUAAACAAGGUAAUGAGAUAAACAAUCUAGAAUGACCUAUCGGGUCCCAUCAAAAUUAACCUAUGCAUGAGCAAGUGAUAUUAAAGAACAUUAUUGGGUAAAAAGUGGUCAAGGACACAACUUUCCUUCUAUGAGCUCCUGCUCAGCUACUUCAACCUUCUCCUCACCAGGAUCCUCAGCAACGGGCUCUUCUACUCGCCACAAUACAAACAAGCACAGUGCAUAUAGAGAAAUUAAUAUUACACCAAACUUGUAAACAAAAUACACAGUAAUAAUCUACAUAUUAAAAUAAAAUUCUAGGAACAUGAAUCAUAAUUUUUGGAGUUAUAGCUUUUAAGAUAUGAAUUUACAAAGGUUUUAUGUGUUUAAAAAUAGGAUUAAGUGAGAAAUAAAUUUCUUACUGUUUUCAUGAUAAAACAGAGGCUUUAAGUGUUAGAUAAUAAAAUUACAAAAUUUUAGAAAGUGGAAUGGACUAAUUUGGACUAAAAAUGGAUUUUUUAUGAAUUUAUCAACUUCUAGUAAUUAUUUUCAUAUUAAAAAUUCAUUUUCCCUUUUAUUUAUUCAGUUUUAAACUGCACUGGAUUGGGCCUCAAUAUCUGUGAAGCGCAGGGGCCUCAGGGAUAAAAUUCCUAAGACCUAGGGAACAGCGCAUAGGACGGCGGGUUUAUUUCUAUUUUCUGCAGGGGCUCUUUAACAAAAUCGCCACGGCGAAAGGGUAUCGCGCGCACAAAACCGUAGGAUCGGAGUUCUGUGGCUGAGAUUAGAUCAACCACUAACUAUCCCGGUAUUCGAUGAUGGCCAUUGGAUCGGUGAUCGACGAACCGCAGCGACCCUCACCAAUCCACUACCGGAGCCUUCGAUUUCCAGAUCAGUGGUCAUGAUUUAAAGCACAAAGGGGUAAGCGUAGGAUCUAAUCGUAGCCGUUCAGGGGGAAAUCAAUGGUCUAGCGGCGACGUCACCACACUGACCCGAUUUCCCCACGGUGGUCGCCGGAAUCCAGCCAGCGCGCGGCGGCGCCAUUGCCGCACAACCAAACCUCGAUAAUACGCGUCCAAACUCCAAUCGGGUGGGAUCUACACGACAAUGAAGUGAUUGCAAGAGAUUGGGUAAGGUUCGUACCAGCACGAAGGCAGCGGGCAGCCCUGUCCACGGCGCGCGGCGGAAGCCGAGGUACGGUGAGGCAAUCCGGCGAUGCCAGCGACGAAUUCCGAGAGGUAUUGCCCCGAACACCUCCCCGGGGACCGGAUCGACGUUUUUGCGAGGAUUACUCGCGGCGGCACAAGGCACACGACUCCUCAUGGUUUCACUGCGCGGUAAUGGCGAGGGUUGCAAGGGCAGCGCGUACGGCGACUUGAGUGCGAAGGAGAGGUCACCGCGUCGCUUAAGUACUCCGGGCUCGGUCGCGAGGUCAUGCGGACUCCUCGACUGUAUGUUGGGCGACGACGGAUUUGCCGCGCAUGGCGCCG